RNAcentral lists this long non-coding RNA (2511 nucleotides) under Phoenix dactylifera (date palm). RNAcentral's name for it is "long non-coding RNA (PDAC_LNC007025)". Lineage: Eukaryota; Viridiplantae; Streptophyta; Magnoliopsida; Arecales; Arecaceae. The record is from RNAcentral.
CCACAUUUUUCCUUUUGUCACUCCAAGAACCGUGCUAAUUAUGGUCUGUCUAAUAGGCCUCUCGUCUACAACCGUGCUGACCAAUCAAUCACAAGAUCUCUCUCUCUCUCUCUGACACACACAUUCUGUGUGUAUUUUCCUUCUAAUUUGGGGUUCAGUUUUAAUUUGGGGCCAAAAUGCCAAUUUUGCCCUUAACGGUUCAUGAAAUCAUGUCUUGCAGCCGUUUCAGGGAGGUGUUGGGGGAGAGGAAGCAUUUUUUCCCUAUUUACUUAUUUAUCUUUAAUUUAACUUUCAGAAAUUCAGUUUUAUAUUUUAUAUUUUCCAUUUUAUUUAUUUUUUAUCUGUUUGGCUAUCUUGUUUUAAGAACUGCUUCACAGCUGCCAUGCCAUUUGACAAGAGGGGAUUGGCGUGUCUGACAGCUCGGUGUGAUGCAGCUGGGGCUGUGGUGUAAAGUGCCAAUCCUCUUAUGACACGUGGCCUUGGAGUUUUUUUUGUGGUAUUUGAUUUGGGGCCUCUAAGUAUUUUUAGAUUUAAAAUUCAGUUUCUCAGUUUUUAGUACCUAUUGUUUUGUAAAUUUUCUUUUUUUGUGUUUGUCUGAAAUUUCAGUUUAUAAUUUCUUUUCAAAUUCAAUUUUAUUGUUUAUUUUUGUUAUAUUUUAAGUUAUUUUCUGUUUAUUUUCCAGCUUCAUGUUCAUUUUCUCAAGUUUUCUUUUUUUAUUUUCUAUUUCUGGUUUUUAUUUUUUAUCCAUUAUUUGUUUCUAUCCAUUUGUUUUUUUGAAUUUUGUGUAAUUUUUUAUAUUAUAAAUUUAGUUUUAUAUUUUAUUUUAUAUUUUAUUUUCUCUUUAAUUUCAUUUGUCAUUUCCACUUUCACAAAUUCAGUUUGUAUUACCUUUUUAACUUUUACCUUUUUUCUUGAUCUUCAGUUUGUUUUGGAUACUUCUUUUAUUUUCCUUUUUAUUUGAUUUUUUUACUUUUUGCUUAUUUUCUAUCUGUGCAUUCACUCGGUUUCCUUUUUUUAUUUUAUUUUAUUAUUUGUUCAUUAUCUGUUUUUAUCUAUUCAAUCUUUCAGUUUUGGAUCCAGGUUUAUAUUCUCUUCUUCUUCUCUUUUUUUUCUUUUCUCCCAUAAAUCCUAUCUCAUACUUGUGUUUUUGCUUUUUUUAGUUUGUUUGUUUUCUUCUCUGUUUCUGCAUUUCAUAUAGAUUUCUGCUUUUGUUUUUGGAGGAUAGUAGAUUCUUCUGAGAUGGAUAGAGGAAAUGGAGUUAUUACCUUGCAAAAAUAAACAUUUUUUAAGAAUAAGCCCUUGGUUACUUGGUUUUAUGGAUUAUGCAUACUUAAUGCUGGAUCUUCUCUUCAAAACAAACAACAGGAAGUCAAAAUGUCUAUUUUCAGAGUUAAUUGGUUCACUUUUGCUUAAGGAGGUUUUAAUGGCAACAUAACAUUUGUUGCUUUCUUCUGAGGACUUCUUGUGAUAAAUAAUAAAUGACUGUAGCUAUAUCCUUGUAAGAAUCACCUAGAAAUGACUUUAAUAUAUUAUAAGAAUCAUUGCUGAGGUUUUUAAGAUGGUCAGAGGGACAAAAAACUAUUGCUUUUGUCAGAAAUAUCUUUGUCUUUGGUUUGAACUGGUUACAUGUGUUCAAUCUUCUCUCUAAGUGCUCCCAAAAUGGAUAGAAACACUGACCAUCUUGUUCUUGAUUGGAUUGUUUCACACUUCUUGGUGUUAGAGGAUUGCAAGUAUGUUUGAAAUUGAAAUGAAAAAUUUGCAAUUUCACUGAAUCUCACUGCUGGUGGGCUUUCCAGUAUUUGUUGAUCCAUUCUUUCACAGAUAUUUAGUCAACGAUCAAAGCCAUAAUAUAAUUUACUAUUAUGCUGUGUUCAAUGAUUAAAAAUAAAUCCCUUAUUUUAUAAAUCUAUGACUGAUGAUCUUCAGAUGUUUUUUUUAUAAUUUUUUUUUACUUUUUGUAAUGGUUGAACUUUUAUGUUAAUAUUUUGAUAGCACUAUUGUUGCUUAUAUCAUAUUCUUGUGGGCAUGGUGUUCCUGUAACUGUGUUGAUGCUCUGUAGAUAUUAUAGAGGAUGAUGGUACUGAUCUUUUGCUUUGGCAAUCAGGAAUGCUAUAGCAGGUUUGCAAUAAAUUAUAUUUCUUUUAACUGAAUCUAUAUCCUUGUAAGAAUCAUCUAUUUGUCGAUUUGUUUUUACUUAAGUUGGCUAUUGUGCUCUAAAGUUUCUUGGUAUCUCUGAGAUGGAUGAAGAGAACUGAUGCUAUGAUCUUGUCAAAAUCAUCUCAUUCUUUUUGUUCGGUUGGUUGUCAUGUGUCACUCGGUCGUCUGGACUUCCUUGUUGGGAUUCUUUAAGAUGGCUAACUGAGAAGAAAAACGGCAAUGCAAUAUUGUCAGAAAUGUCUGCUUAUUUUGUUUAAAUUGGUGCAUUAAACUUGAUUUCCUCUUGCCGGCAUAUCUGGAUGAAUAGAGCCAUUUGAUCAUCUCGUCUCUCUCUCCCUCUCUCUCUCUCUCUCU